UUACAAUGGAGAGUUUGAUCCUGGCUCAGGAUGAACGCUAGCGGCAGGCCUAAUACAUGCAAGUCGAACGGGUAGUAGCAAUACUACUAGUGGCGCACGGGUGCGUAACGCGUAACCAACCUGCCCUGAACUGGGGGAUAGCCCGCCGAAA
Molecule: ribosomal RNA, 151 nt
Filed under: Hymenobacter actinosclerus
Lineage: Bacteria; Pseudomonadati; Bacteroidota; Cytophagia; Cytophagales; Hymenobacteraceae
Description: partial 16S rRNA. Bacterial SSU
Rfam family: Bacterial small subunit ribosomal RNA
Source: RNAcentral